UCUCAACUUAAAGUAUCCUUUUCAACAAGGCUCUACUUGGCUUCUCACUCUGUGGCCUCUUAAAAUUUCCAGAUUCUGAUGAGUCAGUGUUGGUGCAGAGUUAUGGAAUCCCUGACCUGGAAGAUCUAUUAGACAUCAUCCUAGCAUGCCCAUCUUACAGACUAUGUUACAGUCCUUUGAGAAGUUUUUGUGCCAAUAAAGAUGCACCAUUGCUGGAUGCCUCUGGGAAUAAUGAGACCCCGAAACCAGGAACACAGCCAUCCUCACAUGUAAGUUAUGGCCUAGCCAGGGCCAGCACAUGCAGCGCUUGGCUUUCUUCCCCAC
This 324-nucleotide long non-coding RNA is filed under the name Cricetulus griseus (Chinese hamster). RNAcentral's name for it is "lncRNA (ENSCGRG00000026642.1)". The record is from RNAcentral. Lineage: Eukaryota; Metazoa; Chordata; Mammalia; Rodentia; Cricetidae.